GGUAAACAGGAUUAGGUACAUGGUAUUAAAUACAGUGAGUUCUAAAUUUUUCUUCAAAGAAUCAGUAUGUCAGUAUGUUCAGUUCUUUGUUCCCCAUUUUAAAGUUUAACUUCCUCAUUCUCCUCGUCUCCUUGCCCCUGGUUUCAGUAAAUGACCUUUUCCAUCAGUUCUAAUCAGUAGUUCACACCUGUUCCCCUGGUCACCUGCUCCAUCCUGAGUCACCCCUGGUUACCCGCUCUGAUCUGUCACAUUUAGUCAUGUGUUCCGUAACCAUCCUUCCCACCAAAACUGCUCACCCCGCCAUUCUGGUCAUACCCCUGCUCUCUUUAAAAUAGCCAAUCAGAAUUAGCUUAGACUGUGCAGUCCAACCCUAGCCUAUAGGGCAACGACACAGCAGUAGGGGCUACCUGCAUCAGGGAUAAGAACCCCUUCCCCUCCCCUGUUCAGGUGUGCUCUCGCCAUUGCUCCAUCUGUUCAAAAAAAAAAAAAAAAAAAAAAAAUUCAGUGAUCGGGAAUUGAUGAAGAAAUUGCUUCAUUAAGUGAGUAAACUCUUUAUCUAGCUCAUUCUUUGAUCUGUUUGGUUUUAGGAGGUUUGGUUUAUGGAGAUCUUGGGUAAGGGGCAUACUCCAAAUUCUUGGUAUAUCCUCUAAUAAUAGUCUCCCUGGUGUGCUGCGUUCUCUCAAAGGUUUUAAAUGCUUGCAUGCAGCCAUCUCUAAAAUGAAAUAUAGUUUCUUUUCAACUGGAAUAACAAGAGCCAAAAGAAUCUGCAACCAUGAGGACACCGUAACCUAUACCUGACGUGCUGAGAAUGAAAACCCAAAAUAAUAGUAACCAAGAGUGGCACUAAGGCCCUAAGUUUUGGUCCCACUCUCACUCAAGUGAAAACCUGAAUAAAGGGGAAUUUUUUAAAGAAAAUUAUGGGAGGCCAUUGUUUUGGACUGAGCUCAUGCACUAGGCCCCUACAAACCAAACCAAACCAAACCAAAAUGGAGUCGCUCGUGCUAAAACUUUAGGGAAACGCAUAGAUUCUACAAGAGACCAGGUUUUGUUUUUUUUCUCCUGCAUAUCUCUAUAAAAAACAUUUCUGACAGCAUAGGUAUCAACCCCCUGAAGUUCCCAUUAAAUCUUUUAGCCAAAUUCAUUUCCUCUCGCCUAGAUAAUCAUCAAGCUUCAGAUGAUCAUGCAACCACGGUUCCAGCCAGUUCCAGGUGAAGACACCACCCCUGGCCAUCAAGAAGCUACCCUGCCUCCACGAGAUAGAGCAUGGCGAGAGUUCCGUGAUUUCCAAUAGGUAGGGACUAUGCCCCAGGUCGGCAUGAAGCAGUUACAGAAGAAAGCUCUUCAGUCCCUCUGCCUCACAUAAAGAUUUAUGGGGAUCAAGUCUCUCAGCGGGGAGAUGAGGCAGGAGAAUAGGGCCUGGAGGCAGGGGACCUAAGGCUGUUUUACGCUGACUUCCUAGAACUAAAUUGAAAGGAAAACCCUCACUUUCAACGCCUAAGUAACAAAAGGACCAGAGGCUACUCCCUUUGACCUUUUCUGCACUACAGAUGGAAAAUUGGCUGUGGCAACAAAUUAGGCUGACUUCUGGCCUAGUCUUCGUUUGCAUACAAGUAUAACUUUGUUAACUUCACCCUAGCCUCUGAUUGGUUGCUUUUUGCAACCAAUCAGAUAUUUGCACAGGAGUGUGACCUUUGUAACUUCAGUUUAGCCUCUGGUUGUCUCCUUUCUGCAACCAAUCAGAUUUAUUUCGGGCGACCACUCCACUUACAUGAGGUGGCCAAUGGGAAACUUCUAGGGGGUAUUUGAACCAAAGAAGAUUCUGUAUCCAGGCCCUUGAGCCUCUGCUGAGGCCAUCUCCCACAGUGUGGAGUGUACUUUCGUUUUCAGUAAACCCUUGCUUUCAUUCUUUUGUUACUUCAUUCUUGCUUUGCUUUGCUGGGCAUUUUAUGCAAUUAUUUGUUCAAAACGCCAAGAACCUGGACAACUUGCAAUCCUGACCCUCUACGGGUCACAAACCCAAGUUGCACCCAACUGGACAAAUCUCCAGUAAUCCAUGUUCAGUGGCGCCUUUAUCUCUGGAAGGCGUUUUUUCAAACAGAAAGGGCGGGAGAAAAGGGCUCCAAGACAGGGCUUGAUUGAAAAUGUGGAACCCUACUGCCACCGUGAGGAAAUCGUUUAAAGACGGAAUACGCCAUCAUGGCGUCCUUCUCGGAAAGCCUCCCUGUGGGGGAAAGGCUGAUCUGUAGGCCCCCAGGCUAUGUCUUCCUGCCUUUUCCUCUAAGGCCUGAAAAGAGACAGGGACAUUGGCGGUAUCUUGGUGUAGAAUCUGGAGAGUGCGGGGUUUGGAGUGAACCAGCAGCUGCCAGGAGGUACUGGCACAGGAAGUCGUGGAGCGGAAACUUGGUUCCUCCGGUGUGGGGAGGACAGUAGGGAACCAGUCAAACACACAUAGAGGCUCUUGUGGGCAUCUGUCUCUUCUACCUGCCCUUUGGAGCAAGAGUCAGCAGGCUUUCACUUGCUAGCAUCUUGCUAUGGGUCUUGGGGUUUCUGGUAGCAUCAAUAUCGCUCACAAGGAACACAGUUAUUCCAAGGGAAGUUUACAGGAUUUGCUGUUAGAACCUUCACUCUCCAGGUUCUACAGCAAGGUACCGCCAAUGUCCACGUCUCUUUUAAGGCCUUAGACGAGAAGGCAGGGACUCUGAGCAUGGAGCCCAAGCCUCUUCCACCUCCCCACAGACCAGACCUUCCCCAACAGGUAGUCCUCACAAGACGACCCAUGUAAUGGCGUAGGGAUCCGUUAAAUGACAUCCUCGCGAUGGCGGUAGUGCAUCAGAUAUGCCAGAAAGCCCUGUCUUGGAGCACCGCCCCCUUCUCCUGCCCUUCCUGUCUGAAAAAACGCGACUCAUAGACAAAGGCGCAACCAAACAUGGAUGCCUUCUAUUUGCCCAGUGUGGAGCCUGCUAGUCUUACUGCUGCACUUUUUCAUUUUGUUUUCCACUUGAAAUCAAACCGAGGCCUAAAGCACCGGUCCUCAUCAGGAAUCCAGUUCUUCCAGAAAUUAAAUAUCCUCCUGACCUACUCUGUGUGGGUUUGAUUUACUUCAGAGUUACAGGUCCAGUAAUUUCCGAGGCAUCAAACUGUCUCCUUCAGGGAAUACAUUCAGUGGAUGAACUCACAAAAAAGAGAAAAGGAGCCGGGCGCGGUGGCUCACGCCUUUAAUCCCAGCACUUUGGGAGGCCGAAGCUGGCGGAUCACCCGAGGUCAGGAGUUCGAGACCAUUAUGGCCAGCAUGGCAAAACCCUGUCUCUACUAAAAAUACAAAAAUUAGCCGGGCGUGGUGGCACAGGCCUGUAAUCCCAGCUACUCCAGAGGAGGAGGCAGGAGAAUCACUUGAACCUGGGAGGGGAAGGUUGCAGUAAGCGGAGAGCGCACUAUUGCACUCCAGCCUGGGCAACAGAGUGAGAGUGUCUCAAAAAAAAAAAAAGAGAGAGAGAGAGAAAAGGGCUAAAAGCUUGAAAGCUUGGAAAAGAACUCCAGCAAAAAAUUUAAAAAUCCCAGAGGUCUUCGCCCUGGCUCCCCUGUCAGGCAUCCAGGGAAUUCUUCCUAUUCUAAGAGCCUUAUGUGGUACAUCAUAGGCAACAAUUUGGCAUGAGCCAUUAGAGGAGAAACCAGGUGACGCUCCUUACUGCAUGCCAUAUAUACUCCAAAUGCCAUGAUACUCAUAGAACAUAUGUUCAAUUCAUAUCAAGGUGGCUCAGGGUUUCAUCUCAUGGUCUCAUCAUUUAACAUCAAAACACAGCAUGUGCCCGUGCCAUUACAUAUUCUUCAAGUAUUCCCUGAGACUUUAUGGGGUGUGUGUUUGUGUUCGUGUUUGUGUGUGUCUCUGAGAGUUUUAUAAUUGGUCUUUUAAGUAUAAGGAUUACAGUAUUCUCCAACUAGUAAAUUAAAGAAUAAUGCUUGACAAAGAUUAAGAAAAAUCCAUGUAUUAACACAGAAAACCGCUACCAUACAACUUGUCAAGGUAACUCAUGAACUUAUGGAUUAUUUCCAUGCAUCUUUCAAAAUGUGCAUACAUUAACUUCAUGCAAAAAAAUAAAUCUGUGUAAAAAGUGGAUUACUGUGUACAUAGUGGUUUGGAUCAGACCAAAUGUGUAUUUUAAUGAAACUUUCAGAUGCAUGAAUUAAUUCAAAUGUCACCAGUACUAAGUCUUAUAUGUCAACAUUUCAUGCCUUCAAUAUAAAUAAAGGUAAAUCUUAACAUACAGCCUCAGGAAAAUUACUUUAGUAAAGUAGACAAUAUCAGCUCUUUGAUUUUUUACAGCUACAUCACUACACAUUUCUAAAAAAAAGUUCAUGAAGAGACAAAGACAUCAGAAAUUAUGGCUACCUAACAUUUUGCUCAAUUUGUGUAAACAAUUUCCACUCUUAACCAUUUGCUUUUGGUUUCCAUUGGAUAUUAACCUGAGAUGUAAUCCAUGCACCCUCAUCAAGCAUCUCAUCUUUUUAAGAACUCAGUUUCUGCACAACCAAAUCUUCCCAUUUCUACUCUUUUUCACUCUGCAUCAUAUCUGCAGUAUUUUAUUGUGAUAUCAAAUAGUCUUGUAGUAAUGGGGAGAGACCUUAGGUUUCCAUGCCUAAGGAGAGAAGAAAAAAAAAAGCUCACCUCUAAAGGCUUGGAGAAGAGCAAAUCUAGGCACCAGGCCACGUGGUUCUUGUCCUGAUUCCCUACUCAGGUUCCCCGGGAAUUUUACUCCAUGUUCUAAUCUAGUCAGUAGGCCUUAUACAUUGAGGGGGAGGAUGCUAUUUAGUGGGGCACUAACAUAAGGGUACGGAUAGCUCUCAAGCCUGACAAGACACACACAGCCCUACUUGAAUAGACACAAACACAGGAAUGACUGUAAAUACUAAUCAGAUUGAUCACAGGAUUUUGUCUCAUAGUUUCAUUAUUUAACACUGAAUUAGAAAUAUUUUCCAGUGUCAUUAAAUGGCUGUCACUUAGGACUGUGCCCUAUGACUUUCUUGUGUAUGUGUCUUAUUGUUUUUCAGUUGGGAAUCAGUCCUAUAUUUUCUCAUUAGUAACAAAGACAUGGAAUUUGCAAAGAAGUUAAAAAUAACCAUGUGCUGAUCAAGAGAAAAGCAAUGUCAUAAAACUGUAUUAAACAAUGAUCAUUGUUUCCAUAUUUCCUCUCAUUUUUUCAACACUCAGAUAAAAAGUUCUAUAUAUACAGUCAAACACCACAAUAAAUUUACAUUUUACUUGAAUUUAGAUAUAUAAAUAAAGUUGAAGAAUUAAAAGUUUCACAUCUGAUUCCUGAGGUUUUUUUAUUCUCAUAAGAAAGUUGCAAUAUCUGAAUUUUAGACAAUAAAAUAUUUGCAAAAACUUCUUGAUUGGACUAUUCAUCAAAACAUAAGUUCUCCAUUUUCACUUUUAUAUCUAAAAUAUAUGUAUAUUUAUACACACAUAAAAUAGAAACACGUUUAUAUACAAUAGAAACAUAUGUAUUAUACAUACUUAUACCUAGAAAAUUAGGAUGUUUAAUUCUUCUCAAAUUUUUAUUCUUAAUUCUUUCCUUAAAAUUUUAUCUUUGAAACCUCAAAAGAAAGAUAGCAAAAUUCAAUAAAUGAUAGUUGAAAUAGGCAUCUCUCACAUUCAGUCACCUGGAGGUGUAACCUAAGAAAACUGUAAGAUGGAUGCAUUCACACAACUCACAUGCAGCUAGAAUGCUUUAUUACUGUCUCUGUUUAUAUAAUGACAAAUUAAAGUUUUGAAUUUGUUGGCCAAAAAUACCAUCUUCAAACGUAUACUCAUUAUAACACCUACCAUGAUUAAAUAUAUAUAGCAUUGGCCGGGCCCAGUGGCUCACUACUGUAAUCCCAACACUAUGGGAGGCCAAGGCAGGAGGAUAGCUUGAGCCCAGGAGUUCAAGACCAUUCCUGGCAAUGUAGUGAGACCCCGUAUCUACAAAAAAUACAACAAAUAACCAGGCAUGGUGGCGUGCAACAGAAGCCCCAGCUAUGUAGGAGGCGGAGAUGGGACGACCACCUGAGUCCAGGGAGGUUGAUUCUGCAGUGACCCAUGAUCAUGCCAUUGCACUCUCACCUGGGCAACAAUGAGACACUGUCAUAUAUAUAUAUAUAUAUAUAUAUAUAUAUAUAUAUAUUUUUUUUUUUUUAAUAUUGUUAUAUACCUACAGACAGAUAUAAAUACACACACACUCAACACAGUUUAAAUAUAAUUGGAUGUAUACUGUUUGAAAUUUGUACAAAAUCUUCAGCAUUGUCUUAUAUGCCUUGAAUAUAUCUACAUCCAUAUGUACUUUUGAGUGCUUGGAAUUUUUUUAUAUUUUACUCUAGAAGAACUUUAAGAUAUUACAAAGCAGAAAACAUGCUGGGUCUCAUAUAGUGAGAAGAAAUAAUGACUUUUAAAAUGUCUGUGCUAGGUAUUAUCAUCUGUUCACUCUGCACAUAUAAUAUGGACUUUUAUAACCUAAUGUUCAAAUUCCCCUAUAGUACAACUGUUUUUGUUUUUUAAUGUUGGAUAUGGGGUUUCCCUAUGUUGACCAGUUUGAUCUCGAAAUCCUGGCCUCAAGCAAUCCUCCCAUGUCAGCCUCCCAAAGUGCUAGGAUUACAGGCAUGAGGCACCAAGCCCAGCCACCUCGUAGUAUAACUGUUAAAACAAGAUUUCUUCACUGAUAACUUGAGUACUUUUCAAAUAUAAUUAUUCAUGGAAAUAAUGACAGGUUUAAAAUUAUUGGCACUUUUUAAAACUGAGUUGGUAAAAUUCAUAUAACAUAAAAUUAACCAUUAAAAUGUGUGAAAUUCAGUGGCAUUUAGUACUUUCACAAUGCAGUGCAAGCACUAUCUCUAUCUAUUGGCAAAGCACUUUCAUUACCACAAAAGAAAACCCUGGACCCAUUAAGCAUUCCCCAUUCCACUCUCUGCCCAGCCCCUGGCAAACACUCAUCUACUUUCCCUCACUACUGAUCAUCACAAUAAGUGGUCUUUUCCAAAGUCUUGCUUUUUUCACUUAGCGCGUUUCAAAUUUCAUGCAUUGGUUAUCUAUCUUAUUGACAUCUACCUCUUGGAUAUGGAUCUUCGCUAUUGUACCUUCAUCCACCCAAUUUAUCACCUGAAGGAGACAAUUUGAUGCCAUGGAACUUGCUGGACCUGCAACUGUGUGAAGUAAAUCAUACCCAGAUAGACUCAGUGAGGAGUAUAUUUAAUUUCUGAAAGAACAAAAUUCCUGAUAAGCACGGGUGGUUUAAGCUGAAUUUUGUUUUUAGUUGGAAAAACAAAACAAAACCAAAAAAAAAUCAACAGUUAAGACCAGGUUGCACCAAACUGGACAAAUCUCCAGGCAGCUAUGUUUGGUGGCGCCUUUAUCUCUGGUUUGCUUAUUUCAUAGACGAAGGGCAAGAGAAAGGCCUCAAACAUAGGGCUUCCCUGAAAAUGUGCAACACUACUACUACCGUGAGGAAAUCGCUUAAAGACAUAAUACUCCACUAGAGCCUCCUUCCCAGGAAGCCUCGCUGUGGGGAAAGGCUGAUCUGUUGGGAGGUGGGAGAGGCUUGGCCUCCAGGCGAGGUCUUCUUGCCUUCUCCUCUAACGCCUGAAGAGUGACAUAGACAUUGGUGGUAUCUUGGUGUAGAACCCGGAGAGUGAGGGGCUUGGAGUGAACCAGCAGCUGCCAGGCGGUCCUGGCACAGGAAGUCGUGGGUCGGGGCCUCAGUUCCUCCUGGUGUGGGCAGGACUGCAGGAACCCACUCAAACACACAUUGAGGCUUUUGUAGGCAUCUGUCUCUUCUUCCUGUCCCUUGGAGCAAGAGUCAGCAAGCUUUCUGAUGUUGGCAUCUUGCUAUGGGUCUUUGGGUCUCUGUGACCAAACAACAGGUUUAUUCAAAGGGAAGUUUACAGGAUUUGUUAUUAGAAGCUUCACACUCCAGGUUCUAUAGCAAGAUAUUGCCAAUGUCCAGGUCUCUUUUAAGGCCUUAGACAAGUAGGCAAGGACGCCCAGCAUGGAGGCCAAGCCUCUUUCACCUCUUACCAGACCACACCUACCCCAACAGGUAGUGCUCAGAGAACUCUGUAAUGGCGUUAAACGACUAUAAUUCGUUAAACGUCUUCCUCGUGAUGGCAGUAGUGCUCCAGAUAUGCCAAGAAGUCCUGUUACGUAGCCCUCUUCUCCCGCCCUUCCUGUCUGAAAAAACGCCACACAUAGACAAAGAGCCACCAAACAUGGAUGUCUUCUAUUUUGCCCAGUUUGGAGCCAGCUGGUCUUACUGCUGUGCUUUUUCUUUUUGUUUUCCACUUGAAAUCAAACCAAGGCCUAAACCAACCACCCUCAUCAGGAAUUUUGUUCUUUAAGAAAUUAUUCUACUGACCUAGUCUGUGUGGGUUUCAUUUACUUCAGAGUUACAGGUCCAAUAAUUUCCGUGGCAUCAAACUGUCUUUUUCAGGGGAUAGCUUCAGUGUAUGAACGCACAAAAAGGAGAAAAGGGCUGAAAGCUUGGAAAGGAACUCCAGCAACAAUUUAAAAAUCCCAGAGAUCUUGGCCCUGGCUCCCCUGUCAGGCAUCCAGGGAAUUCUUCCUAUUCUAAGAGCCUUAUGUGGUACAUCGUAGGCAACAAUUUGGCAUGAGCCAUUAGAGGAGAAACCAGGUGACGCUCUUUAUUGCAUGCCAUGUAUACUCCACAUGGCAUGAUACUCAUAGUACAUAUGCUCAAUUCCUGUCAAGGUGACUCAGAGUUUCAACUCAUGGUCUCAUCAUUUAACAUCAAAACACAGCAUGUGCCCAUGCCACUACAUAUUCUUCAAGUAUUCCCUGAGACUUUAUGGGCUGUGUGUGGUUGUGUUUGUGUGUGUCUCUGAGAGUUUUAUAAUGUCUUUUAGGUAUAAGAAUUAACUAGUAAAUUAAAGAAUAAUGCUUGACAAAGAUUAAGAAAAAUCCAUGUAUUAAUAAUGAAGAAAACCACUACCAUACAACUAGUCAAGGCAACUUAAGAACUUUUGGAUUAUUUCCAGGAAUAUCUUUAAAUAUGUACAUACAUUGUUAAUUUCAUGAAAAAAUAAAUCUGUAUUGAAAGUGGAUUACUGUGUACACUGUGGUUUGGAUCAGAUCAAGUGUGCAUUUUAACAAACCUUUGAGGAGGGUGAAUUCAUUUGAAUGUCACCAGUACGAAGUCUUAUAUGUCAACAUUUCAUGCCUUCAAUAUGAGUAAAGGUAAACCUUAAAAUAGGGCCUCACGAAUAUUACUUUAGAAAAGUAGACACUUAUCAUCUUUUUGUUUGAAUUUUUAAAGAUGCAUUACUAUACGUUUCAAAACAAAACGCCAUGAAGAGACAAAGACAACAGAAACUACGGAUACCUAAUAUUUUGCUCAAUAUGUGUAACCAUUUUCCACUCUUAACCAUUUGCUUUUGGCUUCCAUUGGAUAUUGAACUGAGAUGAGAUCCACUCACCCUCAACAAGCAUCUCCUCUUUUUAAGAACUCAGUUUCUGCACAACCAAAUCUCCCCACUUCUACUCUUUUUCAUUCAGCAUCCUAUCAGCAGUGUUUUAUUAUGAUAACAAAUAGUCUUGUUGUAUUGGGAACAGACCUUAAGGAUCCAUGCCUAAGAAAGAAUUAAAAAUAAAGCUUACCCCCAAGGUCUUGGAGAAGAGCAAAUCUAGGCACUGGGCCACGUGGUUGUUGUCCUUACUCCCUCCCCAGGUUCCCUGGGAGUUUUACUCCAUGUUCUGACCUAGUCAUUAGGCCUUAUAUGUUGAGCGGGAGGCCACUAUUUAGAGGGGCUAUAACAUAAGUGCCCAUGUAACUCUUAAACCUGACAAGACACACACAGCCCUGUUUGAAUGGACACAAACGAAUGACUAUAAAUGCUAAUCAGAUGGAUCACAGGAUUUUGUCUCAUGGUUUCAUUAUUCAACAUUGGAACAGAAAUAUUUUCCAAUGUCAUUAAAAGGCUAUGACUGGCUGGGUGUGCUGGCUCACACCUGUAAUCCCAGCAGUUUGGGAGGCCGAGGUGGGCAGAUCACUUGAGGUCAGGAGGUCGAGAUAAACCUGGCCAACAUGGUGAAACCCUGCCUCUACUAAAAUACAAAAAAAUUAGCCAGGUAUGGUGGUGCAUGCCCAUAAUCCCAGCUACUUGGGAAGCUGAGGCAGGAGAAUUGCUUGAACCCAAGGCAGAGGUUGCAGUGAGCUAAGGUCGUGCCGAUGCACUCCACCAUGGGUAACAAAGUGAGACUCCAUCCGUCUCAAAACAAACAAAAAGGCUAUGACUUAGGACUGCCUCUUAUGACUUUGUUGUGUAUGUGUCUUACUGUUUUUCACCUAGGAAUCAGUCCUAUACUUUCUUAUUAGUAAGGAAGACAUGGAAUUUGCAAUGAAGUUAAAAAAAACCCUUUGGGAGGUGGGGGCAGGUGGAUCACAAGGUCAAGAGAUUGAGACCAUCCUGCCAACAUGGUGAAACCCCAUCUCUACUAAAAACACAAAAAUUAGCUGAGUCUGGUGGUGCGCACCUGUAGUCCCAGCUACUCGGGAGGCGGAGGCAGGAGAAUCACUUGAACCUGGGAGGCAGAGGUUGCAGUGAGCCGAGAUCACCCCACUGCACUCCAGCCUGGCGACAGAGUAAGACUCCCUCUCAAGGAAAAGAAAGGGGGCGGGGGGAGGGGGGCGGUGGCUCAUGCCUGUAAUCUCAGCACUGUGGGAGACCUAGGAGGGCAGAUCACCUGAUGUCGGGAGUUCAAGACCAGACUGACCAACAUGGUGAAACCCCGUCUCUA
RNAcentral lists this long non-coding RNA (10780 nucleotides) under Homo sapiens (human). Its description in RNAcentral is "non-protein coding lnc-OR13H1-6:1". Lineage: Eukaryota; Metazoa; Chordata; Mammalia; Primates; Hominidae. The record is from RNAcentral.